RNAcentral lists this ribosomal RNA (497 nucleotides) under uncultured bacterium. RNAcentral's name for it is "partial 16S ribosomal RNA". It matches the Rfam family "Bacterial small subunit ribosomal RNA", at positions 28 to 507 of the family's 1533-position model. The record is from RNAcentral.
GAUGAACGCUGGCGGCGUGCCUAAUACAUGCGAGUCGAGCGAACGGACGAGAAGCUUGCUUCUCUGAUGUUAGCGGCGGACGGGUGAGUAACACGUGGAUAACCUACCUAUAAGACUGGGAUAACUUCGGGAAACCGGAGCUAAUACCGGAUAAUAUUUUGAACCGCAUGGUUCAAAAGUGAAAGACGGUCUUGCUGUCACUUAUAGAUGGAUCCGCGCUGCAUUAGCUAGUUGGUAAGGUAACGGCUUACCAAGGCAACGAUGCAUAGCCGACCUGAGAGGGUGAUCGGCCACACUGGAACUGAGACACGGUCUAGACUCCUACGGGAGGCAGCAGUAGGGAAUCUUCCGCAAUGGGCGAAAGCCUGACGGAGCAACGCCGCGUGAGUGAUGAAGGUCUUCGGAUCGUAAAACUCUGUUAUUAGGGAAGAACAUAUGUGUAAGUAACUGUGCACAUCUUGACGGUACCUAAUCAGAAAGCCACGGCUAACUACGUG